CAAGGAAUAUUGCCCAAUGGACGGAAGUCUGAGGCAGCAACACCGCGUGGAGGACGAAGGCCUUCGGGUCGUAAACUCCUUUUCUGGGGGAUGAAGUGCCACGAGAGUGGCGUUGACAGUACCCCAGGAAUAAGUCUCGGCUAACUACGUGCCAGCAGCCGCGGUAAAACGUAGGAGGCAAGCGUUAUCCGGAAUUACUGGGCGUAAAGCGCAUGCAGGCGGUUGUCAAAGUCGGACGUGAAAGCUCCUGGCUCAACUAGGAGAGGUCGUUCGAGACUCGGCAGCUAGAGGGUGAUAGAGGCGAGUGGAAUUCCCGGUGUAGUGGUGAAAUGCGUAGAUAUCGGGAGGAACACCAGAGGCGAAGGCGGCUCGCUGGGUCACACCUGACGCUAAGAUGCGAAAGCCAGGGGAGAGAACGGGAUUAGAAACCCCGGUAUUCCUGGCCGUAAACGAUGUCAACUAGGCGUAGGCGGUUAAUAAUCCGUCUGUGCUGAAGCCAACGCG
Molecule: ribosomal RNA, 504 nt
Filed under: uncultured bacterium
Lineage: Bacteria
Description: bacterial SSU rRNA
Rfam family: Bacterial small subunit ribosomal RNA
Source: RNAcentral